AGACCCGAAACCCGGUGAUCUAGCCAUGGGCAGGUUGAAGGUUGGGUAACACUAACUGGAGGACCGAACCGACUAAUGUUGAAAAAUUAGCGGAUGACCUGUGGCUGGGGGUGAAAGGCCAAUCAAACCGGGAGAUAGCUGGUUCUCCCCGAAAGCUAUUUAGGUAGCGCCUCGUGAAUUCAUCUCCGGGGGUAGAGCACUGUUUCGGCUAGGGGGCCAUCCCGGCUUACCAACCCGAUGCAAACUGCGAAUACCGGAGAAUGUUAUCACGGGAGACACACGGCGGGUGCUAACGUCCGUCGUGAAGAGGGAAACAACCCAGACCGCCAGCUAAGGUCCCAAAGUCAUGGUUAAGUGGGAAACGAUGUGGGAAGGCCCAGACAGCCAGGAUGUUGGCUUAGAAGCAGCCAUCAUUUAAAGAAAGCGUAAUAGCUCACUGGUCGAGUCGGCCUGCGCGGAAGAUGUAACGGGGCUAAACCAUGCACCGAAGCUGCGGCAGCGAUGCUUAUGCGUUGUUGGGUAGGGGAGCGUUCUGUAAGCCUGCGAAGGUGGCCUGUGAGGGUUGCUGGAGGUAUCAGAAGUGCGAAUGCUGACAUAAGUAACGAUAAAGCGGGUGAAAAGCCCGCUCGCCGGAAGACCAAGGGUUCCUGUCCAACGUUAAUCGGGGCAGGGUGAGUCGACCCCUAAGGCGAGGCCGAAAGGCGUAGUCGAUGGGAAACGGGUUAAUAUUCCCGUACUUGGUGUUACUGCGAAGGGGGGACGGAGAAGGCUAUGUUGGCCGGGCGACGGUUGUCCCGGUUUAAGCGUGUAGGUGUGUGUUCCAGGUAAAUCCGGUUCACUUUAACACUGAGGCGUGACGACGAGGCACUACGGUGCUGAAGCAACAAAUGCCCUGCUUCCAGGAAAAGCCUCUAAGCAUCAGGUAACAUCAAAUCGUACCCCAAACCGACACAGGUGGUCAGGUAGAGAAUACCAAGGCGCUUGAGAGAACUCGGGUGAAGGAACUAGGCAAAAUGGUGCCGUAACUUCGGGAGAAGGCACGCUGACACGUAGGUGAAGUGAUUUACUCAUGGAGCUGAAGUCAGUCGAAGAUACCAGCUGGCUGCAACUGUUUAUUAAAAACACAGCACUGUGCAAACACGAAAGUGGACGUAUACGGUGUGACGCCUGCCCGGUGCCGGAAGGUUAAUUGAUGGGGUCAGCGCAAGCGAAGCUCCUGAUCGAAGCCCCGGUAAACGGCGGCCGUAACUAUAACGGUCCUAAGGUAGCGAAAUUCCUUGUCGGGUAAGUUCCGACCUGCACGAAUGGCGUAAUGAUGGCCAGGCUGUCUCCACCCGAGACUCAGUGAAAUUGAACUCGCUGUGAAGAUGCAGUGUACCCGCGGCAAGACGGAAAGACCCCGUGAACCUUUACUAUAGCUUGACACUGAACAUUGAGCCUUGAUGUGUAGGAUAGGUGGGAGGCUUUGAAGUGUGGACGCCAGUCUGCAUGGAGCCGACCUUGAAAUACCACCCUUUAAUGUUUGAUGUUCUAACGUGGACCCGU
Molecule: ribosomal RNA, 1545 nt
Filed under: Salmonella enterica subsp. enterica serovar Ajiobo
Lineage: Bacteria; Pseudomonadati; Pseudomonadota; Gammaproteobacteria; Enterobacterales; Enterobacteriaceae
Description: partial 23S ribosomal RNA
Rfam family: Bacterial large subunit ribosomal RNA
Source: RNAcentral